Molecule: long non-coding RNA, 176 nt
Organism: Temnothorax curvispinosus
Lineage: Eukaryota; Metazoa; Arthropoda; Insecta; Hymenoptera; Formicidae
Exons: 2
Source: RefSeq, a predicted model, not a curated record
ACAUCGUAGAAAAAAAUACAUUGUAAAAGGACAACAAAAAGACAUUAAAUCAUGCCGACGUGCUGCAUAAAAAAUUGUGCAAGCCGCACAGACCAUACGAGCACAAGGGGUUUGAAAUUCUUUAGAUUCUCCAAGGAGACUGACAUUCGUCAGCAAUGGCUUGAUGCUUGUCAAAG